GACGAACGCUGGCGGCGUGCCUAACACAUGCAAGUCGAACGGACAGGCCCUGCUUUUGUGGGGUGCUCGAGUGGCGAACGGGUGAGUAACACGUGUGUAACCUGCCCUUGACUUUGGGAUAACUUCAGGAAACUGGGGCUAAUACAGGAUAGGAGCUCCUGCUGCAUGGUGGUGGUUGGAAAGUUUCGGCGGUUGGGGAUGGACUCGCGGCUUAUCAGCUUGUUGGUGGGGUAGUGGCUUACCAAGGCUUUGACGGGUAGCCGGCCUGAGAGGGUGACCGGCCACAUGGGGACUGAGGUACGGCCCAGACUGCUACGGGAGGCAGCGGUGGGGAAUAUUACACAAUAGGGCGGAGCCAGAGGCAGCGACGCCGCGUGCGGGAUGACGGCCUUCGAGUUGUAAACCGCUGUCGCCUGAGACGAGGCGGGAGUGACGGUAAUGGGUAAGGAAGCACCGGCUAACUACGUG
This 468-nucleotide ribosomal RNA is filed under the name uncultured bacterium. RNAcentral's name for it is "partial 16S ribosomal RNA". It matches the Rfam family "Bacterial small subunit ribosomal RNA", at positions 28 to 507 of the family's 1533-position model. The record is from RNAcentral.